CAUUAGAUGACUGAAAAGCAAGUAGUGGUCUCUUAAACCAUAUAAUAGUAGUUUAGCAACUACUUCUAAUGA
This 72-nucleotide transfer RNA is filed under the name Diamesa tonsa. RNAcentral describes it as "tRNA-Lys". The record is from RNAcentral. Lineage: Eukaryota; Metazoa; Arthropoda; Insecta; Diptera; Chironomidae. RNAcentral also lists the same sequence under 11 other names.